RNAcentral lists this long non-coding RNA (1281 nucleotides) under Mus musculus (house mouse). Its description in RNAcentral is "long non-coding RNA chr12:54987064-54988345". The record is from RNAcentral. Lineage: Eukaryota; Metazoa; Chordata; Mammalia; Rodentia; Muridae.
ACUUUUGAAUUGAAAAGGAUAUUCUAAGUUAGAAGUCAUUCAGAAUGUUCACCAACUUUUAAUAAUUUUUGCCAUCACUCUAUUUGCUUAUUUGCAAAUUAACAUGUAAGAAUGAGUCUAAAAGUAUAACUGAGGAAUAGUCUUCCAGUAAAAUGUUACUUUUUUUCCUAAUUACUAAUGCUGUGAAAUGAUUUUAAAAACUGGGAUCUUCUAUAACUAUUUGUAUGUGGGUGGUGGUGUUUAAGACUAUUUACCAGUUAUGAACUUCUCAAACUACUAUGAUUAUAGAACGAGUAAAAUAAUACUUGGUGAAAGUCUGUUCUAUGGCACUAAAAAGCAGUUAAUAGUGUGUGUGCAUACACAUUUCUGCAUGAGCAUAGCCACAGAAGCUUACAAGUCUCCCAGUGGCAAGUAUAUACGUAAGACUGUAUGCUUUUCAGAGAAGUACACAGUACACACUUAAAGACUUGGUGUUUUGAAAAUUGACCUCCAAAUUUCUGAGUUCGAGGCCAGCCUGGUCUACAGAGUGAGUUCCAGGACAGCCAGGGCUAUACAGAGAAACCCUGUCCCGAAAAACAAACAAACAAAAAACUUUUAAAAAAUUGACCUCCAAAUAAUAUACAGAAUAAUAGUAAGAAUUCUCUAGGAAGUAGUUAUUAAUAGCACCUACAACAGUCCCCUAAACAAGGGGCAAGAAGAAAAUUUAAUUUACAAGGUGAGUGUUGUGUGUGCGUGCAUGAGAGAGAGACAGAGAGAUAGAGACAGAGAGAGAGAGAUAGGUGAACCCAGGGGCCUAAGCAUGCUAAGCCCCUAGCCUGAGGUCUGUAUUAGCACAGUAUGCAUAUAAUCCAAAAGUUAAAAUAAGUGGGAAUCUAGAAAGGGAUUAAACUCUCUGAAUACUUCUAGUUUUCAACUUACUAUUUGCUACAUUUUAAAAAUUGUUAAAUUAUCGAAAAUCGAGAUAGGCAGGCAAAUGGCUCUGUGGAUUAAGACACUUGUCACCAAACCUGACUACCUAGGUUCCAUUUCCAGAACCCACAUAGGGGAAAGAGAGAACCCACUCCCAUAGAUUGUCCUUUGAUCUCCUCUUUUGUGUGCCCCCCCACUCCAAUAAGUAAAUAUGAUUUUAAAUUUUUCUUUAAAAAUUUAAAAGCAAGUGUUUAUUUUCUUAUUAUAAAUACAAAUAUUGACUAUUUAGAUUAUUUUAUUAUGCUCCCAAAAUUAAGAUUUUAUUCUUUUACCUAUCAAAUAAAUACUAUCAAAAUCGAUUUUUCUGUUCUC